Long non-coding RNA from Sapajus apella (tufted capuchin), 6019 nucleotides. RefSeq lists it as uncharacterized. NCBI's taxonomy places the organism in Eukaryota, Metazoa, Chordata, Mammalia, Primates, Cebidae. The transcript has 4 exons. The record is from RefSeq and is a predicted model, not a curated record.
AUUACAGGCCUGAGCCACCGCACCCAGCCCAGUGAGCAUCUUCAUGACCAUUAUUUUGAAUUCUCAUAUGUGGUAAAUCAUUUAUCUCCAUUUCAUUACAGUCAAUCUCUGGAGAGUUGUCUUUUUCUUUUAUUUAGAACACAUUUUUAUAUUUCUUCACUUUUCUUCAUCCUGUAUUGGUUUCUUCACAUUAAACAACCACCUCUCUCAGUCUUCACAGACUGGCCUAAUAUAAAAGAGACUUACCAGUUAGUCCAGCCAGAGAUCCUGCCUGGGUCCCCCUCAAAUCUUCAUGGUCAUCUAGACCAUCAUCUUUGUUCUUAGUGGCCCCCAGAAGGCUAGAGUAUGCCAAGUCCCAUUAGUAUCCUAAAACGGGCAAGACAGGAGCCAGUCCCUCAUGUAGCAGCUGGAAAAGUUGGGAUGUUAGAUAGGUAGUCCAAUCCUUUCUCUCCUCAAGCAGAAGCUGUGAGCUGGAAUUUAUCAUCAUUUGCUCAGCACUGAGCCAGGAAGGAUAGCUGGGGCAAAUGCCUGCACUCUCAAAGUACACACUUUUCAAACCAUUGCUUUGCUAUCUGUCACCUCCAGGGGCUUAGCAAAUGCUAGCCAAUAACUCUGAGAGACAGGCACUUUAACUGUAGGCUUGUUUCUGUCUCUGGAGUGAGCCCCAGAAAAGAGGUGCCCACAUACCUAUUCGGCCUGGUGACAAAGCGAGACUCCAUCUCAAAGAAAAAAAAAAAUACACAAAAAUCAUCCCAAUUUUCUAGAGCUUACAUUUAGUAAACAUCAACAGAGGUUUUUACCAACAGUCUGGUUUUUCAGCUUAUGUUCAUUUGCCCACUUAUUUGGUAAUUCCUUCAUCGGCAUUAUAUAUCUUAACAUCAUUCUGGUAGAGUGCAAAGGAUGUAGUAUAUCCCAUUGCUCUUUAACACAUAACUGGCUUCCACUUACAUCUUCCCAGAUAUUUCCCAGAUUAUUCUGUGUUCUCUCUCAAGUGUCCUUCAUUCUAGUACAGGAACACAGUAUUCCUGCCUAGUCAGUAUUAGAAAUUAGAACUAAGGGCACAAGCUAUAGUUUUAAGGGCAUGCAUGUGCCAAGAGGAACAGAGCCAUGCUGUAUUGAAGGGUAUGGGAGUGACAUUUUUAAGACAUGGGGAGCAAGGUAGGAUCUCACACUUGGGGAACAGAGUUCGCAUACUUACCAUGUCACUAAAUUUCCUGCCAAUAGGGAGAGAGGCAGGAAUCACAGGGUUCUACUGUUGAGGAGAAGGCUAGGAUGGGCCUCGGUGUAAAAAGGCACUGUUGAACACAGAGUGUAAGCAAACGAUGAAAGCUGAAGAACAUUUCUGGCAGGCAGAAACAGAAAGAAGGUUAAGAGAAAAAAUAGAAGGUAACCUGGGAACAUAAGCAAUAGAAGUGAAAAAAAAGGCUGUGAUUCCAGGGGAGAAUUCAGGAGGGGGAAUGUUGAGUCUACAGAACAUCAGAAAAAAUUUUUACUUCUCUUGACAUCACCAAGGAAUGUAUUUGACAUGUGGUGUGGCUUAUUAUUUUUCCUUGCUGUUAACAGAUACUCAUUUUGAUCCUGCUACAUGUAAAGCACUGUGACAAAUGUGGUGGGAAAUUAAGAAUUCAGGCUGAUUGUCCUGUAGGGACUUUUAAUCUAGAUGGAGAGACAAGAUAUAUGCCCAGGAAAAGCUUAGUAGCAAUACAAGGCUGUGUAUGAUUGUGUUCAAGUAAGUGAUUCAAAUAAGAAGAUCAAAGAGAAAGAUCUCAGUUCUUACUGGUGAGGGACACAGGGUCAGUCUGUGACCCCAAGAGGAUUUGGUUGGGGUAUGAGAAGGAGGGAAAGUCCUGGAAACUAAGUAGGAGUCAAGACAAGGAGACUGGCGUUGGUGGGUGUUUAAGAAUGGAAGAAAUCCCAAAGGGACUGAGAAAAUCUAAGUCAUUUGACCCCUUUUAUUUUUUUUACCCAGUGCUUGUUUGUGUGAAGCCUGGAAUAAUUAGACUCUGUGACAUUCUAACCCUCACCUGCACUCUCACUGGUUCUGCCAUUCUGUGGUUGGCUUUCAACCUCUUGACCUGAGUGAAGACAGACAUCUCAGGCAGUUCCCUACUCUGCUCAGUGCUCUCUUUGUAAUCUGCAGUGGUGAGGUCACAUGUUGGAUUCUUCUAUCUAAAUCAAGAAUUCUCUGCUUCUUCAGCUGUCUUCCUUGUUGGCUUUGAUGUGCACUAUUGCAACCAAUCCAAGUUUAACCAGUGCAAAUACCAGUAACCAAAGUGAAUCCAAUAUCAAACAGAGAGGAAACUGGGUAGGGAUGGCUAGGCUGACCUUGGCAGUGGUGACAAGGCUAACUUCUGAAAGUUCAAGCCUAGCCUGUUGUUCGAGACUUCAUAGCCACACACACACUGUUGUUUAACUACUACAUGCAGUGUCUCCAGUCAUGUAGAUGCAAGUGGAGAUAUAAAGGGAAGACAGUAGUAUGGUCAAGAGACAUGUUUGAUGACUAUUUCUUCAUUCAUUUACGUAUUCAAUUCAUCAGUGAACUAUCAUAAACUGAGAAUCUCCUGUCUCUUUUCAACAAAGAAGACCAUGGAAGGGGUAAGAGUGACUAAGGUCUCUGAGGGAAGGAAAAGCCAUAUCAUUGGGCCGCAAGAGGGAAAAAGCAACAAAAGACAGAGACUUGUUGGUGCCAACUAAAUGAGCAAAACAGCGGUGACUAAAAAAACCACCACUGCACUAGAAAAACAAAACUAAACUAAAACUGCACCAAAGAAGUUUCCCAUCGGCUCUUGAGAACAGGUUCCUUAAAGGUGAACAAUAUGCCACAUACAAGGACUUUUUCAGCACCAUGCAUUAGCAAUUGAACUGGAUGUUUACUAUUUUUUAUAUAAGUUGGUUGAUACGGCUUUUCAGCUUCCCUCAGUAUCAUUAUCCAAAUUUUGUAGAUGACACUGAAGGUCAGAGGAGUUCAACCAUUUUCCUCAAAUCAUGUAGCUUUAAAUAGGAAAACCAGAUAGGAAAAGCAGAUUUCUUUUUAAAUUAAAAAACAAAAACACGAGCUCUCACUUUACCCUAGCACAUAGUCUCCCCAUCUGUUUUCUCCACACCAGGGCAUUCAUGUAACAUUCAUUCACAUAACAAAUACAGAUCAAUGAGUGGAUUCAUUCAUCAGAUAUGAAUUCAGAAUCUCCUUUGUGUCUACCACAGUAGGCUCAGGACUUCCCAGUGUCUUUGUCUCCUCUCCAUGAAAUCUCUCCACCCAAUGUCUUGACAAAUACUAUAGAUCCUUCCUGCACAACAUCUCCAGAAUUAUUUUCUUCCUUUUCACUCAUCUCUGUCUUCAUCCAUGCUACAGUGUUUCUGGAGGAUGCAUUCUGCACUAUGAAGUGUGAUGGACACUGGCGCUGAAGAAACACUCCUGCUGUCCACCUCAGGAGCUAACACAAUAAAUAUGGAUAAACCGCAAUCCUUUAAUGUCUUUAUGACUUCUUUCCCUUUCUCUCCAGGUACUGUUUUCUCAUGUUCAAACUCUGACAGUCAAAACUAAACACCUUUCUCUAAUAUGUUGCUUUAAUUAUUUAAGUUUUUUGUCUGGGAUUUUCUCAGUUACUCUUGAGUUUUCAUAAUACUCUCCCAGCUUAUCUCCAAGUGGCCAGGCUUUUCAUUCACUGCCUCCUCCAUGUGUAUUUCACACACACACAUAGCCUGGUUUUCUCCACCCUAUGUCCACUGCUUCUCUGCAUAGCUCAAUUUUGAUUCUUACGCUCUGUUAUUUUACAGAUUCUUACACUCUGAUGUGAUCUUGUCUCUUUUUCUUUACGGCUCUACUCUGCAAUUCUGUUGUUGUUGUUCUGACAUAUAGUUGGACCUGUAACUGGUACAUGGCACACCUUAGCAAGGAGGCAACCCACAUCUCAGAUGUUAGUAAAGGAAGCACCCUCCAGGCGUUUCCUAGUGUAGCGGUCAGCACGCUGGCCUCAUUCCUGAAAGGGCCUAGUUGUGAAAACAGCAGGAGCUUUUUGCCUUCAAGAAAUCUGCACCAUCUCACGACUCGGACAGUCUCAGCUACAAGGAGGAAGUGAUAAUGCCAUCCCACUUUUAUAAACACACACACACACACACACACACACACACACACUCAUUUAUUCAUUUUUGAUUAUUUAAUUUUUUCCUUUAAUCUGUGACACGUUAGCCAGGCAGGCCUAGACAGGUCCUGCUUUGCCGGGACGUGCCUUUUUCUGUCCUGGAAUACCCUAAACUUGACAUUUUGGCAGUGCAAGUUUUCCCUUUGUGAAUUUCUCCUUGUUCCCUUUUCUCUUGCUUCCUGGCAGAGAAUGCGUAGCCACUGUGCUCUUGCCCUGGGAAAUCAAUGAGAAGAUCUGCCCUUAGAGGAGCCCCGCUUUCAAAGCACUGAAGGCCCUGAAAUCACAUGUGUUCUCUGCCACCCACUAAGGACAAACAAAGCUGCUCCAACAAGGGGAAUUAGCUCAAGUGGUAGAGCGCUUGCUUAGCAUGCAAGAGGUAGUGGGAUCGAUGCCCACAUUCUCCAGACUUUAUUAUUUGGACCUCAGGUCUCUAAACCCGAGUCCGUGUCUGAGCACAGAAUGCUGCUUUGGCUCAAGAUGUAGGGACAGCAACAAUACAGGGCUGGUGACGGCUCUCUACUGGCAUUCAGGAUAGCAUAGAUCUACCAUGUAAUUAUGUUCUGUUUCUUCAGGGAGCUGUGAAGCCAAGGGACACAAACAAUUGCCCUUUUCUCCCUGUUUCUGCCUGCAGCUUGGUCCUAAAUGUGAGACGUUCGUGAAAAGUACAAGGAAGAGCCACCUGGGUAAGUACAGCCCCGGCUUUCUGGUCAGGGGACUGAAACCAGGAUGUGUCAAGUAACUAGAAUGUGCCUGGACAGAUACUGUAGAAAACAAACCCAUAAAGUUGUUUGUGAAACUGUGGCUGCCCCUGCCAGCUGUGAAUAAGUGACUCUAACCCCAACAAUUUACCUAGAAAGAGCCUGAGAACUGAACUGAGCAAGGCCCGCUUUCCAGUCCUCACUGAUCACUGGGUCACACACACUCCGGAGAUCUCUGAACAGCCCUGUAAACGCCUUGCAAGUAGAAUUAUCUUUGUAACAACACCACAUGGAAGGCUGGCUGGUACUUGGAACUUGAAUACAAGGCAAUUGUGUGCCUGCAAAAACAAAAACAGCAAUACUAUCCUUAAGAUUUCAACAAGACACAGUGUCUCCUCACAUGAUAUGAAGAAGUCCAGGUUACAGCCCCGAAAUAUUCAGCAUAAGAAACAACAGGGAGAUUGUACUUCACUUGGCAAAGAGAACCCUCAAGUAACAUUACUGAAAGGACACAAUGUCAAAAUCAUCUGACACAUGUGUUAAAGCAAUUGUUAUAACAAUGCUCCUAGAAUUAGGGGAUAACAUUCUUGAAGUGAAUGAAAAGGUGGAAAGUCUCAGAAAAUACAUGGAAUAUGUAAACACCAAUUUUAAACUUAACAGUUAAAAAAAUGUAUUAAUCAAAGUAUUAGGGCAAAUAAAAAGCUUAACUGGAUGAUCUGAAUAACAGAAUGCAGAUGACUAGAAAAAAAGUCAACAAACUUGAAAAAGAAGAAUACCUACAAAAUCUGAACUAUAUGGAGAAUGGAGUAUUUCUGUAAAUAAACAGAGCCUCAGAGACAAAAAAUAACAAAUCUAACAUUCCCAUUAUUGUAAUCUGGAAAGAAGAGGACAAAGAGAUCUUUGUGACAGAAAACUCUGAAGAAUUAAUGGCUGAAAAUGAAUCAAAUUUGUCAAAAAUAUAAACGAGAUUAUUAAAGUUCAGCAAAUCUCAAAGAGGAUAAACCCAAAGAAACCCAUAGCAAGUCAUAUCAUAAUCAAACUGCUGAAAACUAAGAAAAUACAAAACAAUUUUGAAAGCAGCCAAAAGAAAACGAAAGCAAAACUACCAUAUGAAUGACUGUAGAUUUCUCAUCAGGAAUCAUAGGGGCCAGGAAAAAAUGUCAUAACAUUCAGUAAGUA